AACGAACGCUGGCGGCGUGCCUAACACAUGCAAGUCGAACGAGAAAGGGGCUUCGGCUCCGAGUAAAGUGGCGCACGGGUGAGUAACACGUAGGUAACCUGCCUCUAAGAUUGGGAUAACCUGUCGAAAGACGAGCUAAUACCGAAUAAGACCACGGCUUCCUCGGAAGCAGGGGUCAAAGGUAGCCUCUACUUGUAAGCUAUCACUUAGAGAUGGGCCUGCGUACCAUUAGCUAGNGGUGGGGUAACGGCCUACCAAGGCAAAGAUGGUUAGCUGGUCUGAGAGGAUGAUCAGCCACACUGGAACUGAGACACGGUCCAGACUCCUACGGGAGGCAGCAGUGGGAAUAUUGCGCAAUGGGCGAAAGCCUGACGCAGCAACGCCGCGUGAGU
This 392-nucleotide ribosomal RNA is filed under the name uncultured bacterium. Its description in RNAcentral is "bacterial SSU rRNA". It matches the Rfam family "Bacterial small subunit ribosomal RNA", at positions 29 to 406 of the family's 1533-position model. The record is from RNAcentral.